Molecule: small RNA, 60 nt
Filed under: unclassified sequences
Description: DUF2815 RNA
Rfam family: DUF2815 RNA
Source: Rfam by way of RNAcentral
CGGGUAGACGAAUUGGCCCCGAUUUAAGUCCAGUUCUAAAGUAAAUAAGGAAUUAAAAUG